This 393-nucleotide ribosomal RNA is filed under the name uncultured bacterium. RNAcentral describes it as "partial 16S ribosomal RNA". It matches the Rfam family "Bacterial small subunit ribosomal RNA", at positions 523 to 918 of the family's 1533-position model. The record is from RNAcentral.
AUACGGAGGAUGCGAGCGUUAUCCGGAUUUAUUGGGUUUAAAGGGUGCGUAGGCUGUGCGUUAAGUCAGGGGUGAAAUGCCGUCGCUCAACGACGGAGCUGCCCUUGAUACUGGCGUGCUGGAGUACGGAUGCCGUUGGAGGAAUGAGUGGUGUAGCGGUGAAAUGCUUAGAUAUCACUCAGAACACCGAUUGCGAAGGCAUCUGACGAAUCCGUCACUGACGCUGAGGCACGAAAGCGUGGGGAUAGAACAGGAUUAGAUACCCUGGUAUGCCACGCCGUAAACGAUGAUGACUAACCGUCGGCGAUAGACAGCCGGUGGCCAAGCGAAAGCGAUAAGUCAUCCACCUGGGGAGUACGUCGGCAACGAUGAAACUCAAAUGAAUUGACGGGG